UUAAAGCAGUAGGCCCACAGCCACACAGAGAAUUCCAGAGGGUGCUGGAUUACAACCUUCAUGCUUUACUUCAGUCCAACAUACUUUACCUGUUGAUCUGCUCAAUAUGGAUGCCCCACAACCUCUUUUAUGAGCUCCGUUGAGCAGGAAGUGGAAGGAGCACUGAGCAGAUAUGGAGAGACACAGAUUCCAGUCCUGUCACCACUACAACAAGGCAGGCUGUCUCCUUUCUGGGAGCAGGUUUUCAUCCAGACAACCUGGAGAACACAUGGUUACAGACAUGUCUUUGGAUCAUCAGUGUCAUUUUACUUAUAGAUGGCCUUCAGGUUCUCCCUGCUUGCUGUCCUAGAUAUUUGUUUCACCAUGACCAAAGUCCUUGGACCACUGAGUAAGUUUGUUGAGUAAAGGGCAUGAGGUAUUUGAAUCUGGGCCUGGUCAGGAUUUCAGGUUUCUAGACAAUUCAAUUAAUGCCUUUGUCUUAAUACUCAUUAAAAAAUUGAAUAAAAAUAAUUGCUUUACCUACUUUAUAGAAAGAAUGAGGAGUAUAUACCAGAACAUGUAAGUUAUAUGUUUCAUAACACAGAGUUUGUGAGUU
Molecule: long non-coding RNA, 595 nt
Organism: Nyctereutes procyonoides (raccoon dog)
Lineage: Eukaryota; Metazoa; Chordata; Mammalia; Carnivora; Canidae
Exons: 3
Source: RefSeq, a predicted model, not a curated record